CCUACGGGAGGCAGCAGUGAGGAAUAUUGGUCAAUGGGCGCAAGCCUGAACCAGCCAAGUCGCGUGAGGGAAGACGGCCCUACGGGUUGUAAACCUCUUUUGCCGGGGAGCAAGCCUGAGCACGUGUGCCCAGGCGGAGAGUACCUGAAGAAAAAGCAUCGGCUAACUCCGUGCCAGCAGCCGCGGUAAUACGGAGGAUGCGAGCGUUAUCCGGAUUUAUUGGGUUUAAAGGGUGCGCAGGCGGAAGUGGCAAGUCAGCGGUAAAAUUGCGGGGCUCAACCUCGCCGAGCCGUUGAAACUGCUCUUCUAGAGUGGGCGAGAAGUAUGCGGAAUGCGUGGUGUAGCGGUGAAAUGCAUAGAUAUCACGCAGAACUCCGAUUGCGAAGGCAGCAUACCGGCGCCCAACUGACGCUCAUGCACGAAAGCGUGGGUAUCGAACAGGAUUAGAUACCCGUGUAGUC
Molecule: ribosomal RNA, 461 nt
Filed under: uncultured bacterium
Lineage: Bacteria
Description: partial 16S ribosomal RNA
Rfam family: Bacterial small subunit ribosomal RNA
Source: RNAcentral